Molecule: transfer RNA, 73 nt
Filed under: Chloroflexota bacterium
Lineage: Bacteria; Bacillati; Chloroflexota
Also listed under: 1 other name
Description: Chloroflexi bacterium (marine metagenome) tRNA-Lys
Rfam family: tRNA
About the family: Transfer RNA (tRNA) molecules are approximately 80 nucleotides in length. Their secondary structure includes four short double-helical elements and three loops (D, anti-codon, and T loops).
Source: RNAcentral
GGGCCGUUAGCUCAGUUGGUAGAGCACCUGACUUUUAAUCAGGGUGUCCAGGGUUCGAGACCCUGACGGCCUA